RNAcentral lists this transfer RNA (65 nucleotides) under Gangesia oligonchis. RNAcentral describes it as "tRNA-Cys". Lineage: Eukaryota; Metazoa; Platyhelminthes; Cestoda; Proteocephalidea; Proteocephalidae. The record is from RNAcentral.
AGGUGCGCAGCUAUGGGGCCUUAGUUUUGCAAAAACUAGUGAGAAUGUUUAACGUUCCGCACCUU